GACACGUGAGCGGUGAUAGAUUCGCAUGCCACGGCGGGCUCCCUGCCACUGUGCAGCCAACCGCCGUCGCUGCAGCCCCUUCACUCGUGCUCCAACCACUCGGAGCCUCCCGCGUUGCCUGUGCGACAUACCCGGUUCUCGGGCAAACGACUUCGUCCAACACGCUCGUCCGCUCCCCUCGCCUUUGUGCGGGCGCGAAGCGGCAACAUCGGCGGUCCUCGUGUUCCCUCGGACGACGUCACGGCUUCGCCCCCUCGUCUCGUCCCGAUCGGCCCUCGGGGAUUCGCCAGCCCUCGCGGACACGGCAGACAAUGUUGGCUCGGGGCCUUCGUAGCCCUCGCACCACGAUCGGUCGGCUCACUUCGCCGCCCUCAACGAGACGACCGUCGGGCCCGUCGUCCCCCCACCCCUCGCCUAACGGCGUCGGGCGGGCACA
This 436-nucleotide unclassified non-coding RNA is filed under the name Heliconia gracilis. Its description in RNAcentral is "partial external transcribed spacer". Lineage: Eukaryota; Viridiplantae; Streptophyta; Magnoliopsida; Zingiberales; Heliconiaceae. The record is from RNAcentral.